CAGCAGAUAACCCGUCUGUCCCCAGCAAGCAGAAGAGCCGCGGUUCACACAGCCAGCAGCCUCCCACAAUAUGGCAGAAAAAAUAAAGGCCGUUGAAGAAUAUGACCAAUUAAGAAAGGAUAUGCAAGAUGGCAUUUUAACGGAGAAAGGGUUUCACGCUAAAGUAAAAAGUUUGUUGACUGAGUUGCCAAGUACAUCAGCAAUGUCAAAAUGCAAAGACGCUGCCGAAAUUUUUUCUGAAAUGAAAAGGGGUCAGCAACACACUAAAGUUUGUAAAAAAAAACAAUUUCCACUUACGAAAGCCAAAGAAACAUUUUUGAAGGUUAGUUCAAUAAUCCUGAGACAAAUUUUACUUAUAACUUUAGUUAAACAUUAUAAAAUCUCCUGAUAGUACAAAAUUUUGUACUAUCAUAUAGAACCUGUAACAUGUAAAUAUUUUUGGACAUAUGAUGUUUUAUAAAAUCUAAGGAUAGGGAAAAGUUGACCAG
Molecule: long non-coding RNA, 488 nt
Organism: Bufo gargarizans (Asiatic toad)
Lineage: Eukaryota; Metazoa; Chordata; Amphibia; Anura; Bufonidae
Exons: 4
Source: RefSeq, a predicted model, not a curated record